This 117-nucleotide ribosomal RNA is filed under the name Pseudomonas rhizosphaerae. Lineage: Bacteria; Pseudomonadati; Pseudomonadota; Gammaproteobacteria; Pseudomonadales; Pseudomonadaceae. The record is from RNAcentral.
CUUGACGACCAUAGAGCAUUGGAACCACCUGAUCCCAUCCCGAACUCAGCAGUGAAACGAUGCAUCGCCGAUGGUAGUGUGGGGUUUCCCCCAUGUGAGAGUAGGUCAUCGUCAAGA